This 500-nucleotide ribosomal RNA is filed under the name uncultured bacterium. Its description in RNAcentral is "partial 16S ribosomal RNA". It matches the Rfam family "Bacterial small subunit ribosomal RNA", at positions 32 to 507 of the family's 1533-position model. The record is from RNAcentral.
AAUCAACGCUGGCGGCGUGCCUAACACAUGCAAGUCGAACGCGAAAGCCCCGCAAGGGGUAAGUAGAGUGGCAAACGGGUGAGUAACACGUGGGUGACCUGCCUUCGAGUGGGGGAUAACGUCCCGAAAGGGACGCUAAUACCGCAUGACAUCCUGCUUUUGAAAAAGCGGAGAUCAAAGCUGGGGAUCGCAAGACCUAGCGCUUGAAGAGGGGCCCGCGCCUGAUUAGCUAGUUGGUGAGGUAACGGCUCACCAAGGCGACGAUCAGUAUCCGGCCUGAGAGGGCGGAGGGACACACUGGGACUGAGACACGGCCCAGACUCCUACGGGAGGCAGCAGUGGGGAAUUGUUCGCAAUGGGCGCAAGCCUGACGACGCAACGCCGCGUGGAGGACGAAGAUCUUCGGGUCGUAAACUCCUGUCGAGCGGGACGAACGCUUCGCGGAUGAAUAAUCCGCGGAAUUGACGGUACCGCUAAAGGAAGCCCCGGCUAACUCCGUG